Molecule: ribosomal RNA, 418 nt
Filed under: uncultured Actinomycetales bacterium
Lineage: Bacteria; Bacillati; Actinomycetota; Actinomycetes; Actinomycetales
Description: bacterial SSU rRNA
Rfam family: Bacterial small subunit ribosomal RNA
Source: RNAcentral
GGGGAAUUUUGCACAAUGGGCGCAAGCCUGAUGCAGCGACGCCGCGUGAGGGAUGGAGGCCUUCGGGUUGUGAACCUCUUUCGCUCAUGGUCAAGCCGCGGAUGUGUCCGUGGUGAGGGUAGUGGGUAAAGAAGAGCCGGCGAACUACGUGCCAGCAGCCGCGGUAAUACGUAGGGCGCGAGCGUUGUCCGGAAUUAUUGGGCGUAAAGGGCUUGUAGGCGGUUUGUCGCGUCUGCCGUGAAAUUCCCUGGCUUAACUGGGGGCGUGCGGUGGGUACGGGCAGACUAGAGUGCGGUAGGGGAGACCGGAAUUCCUGGUGUAGCGGUGGAAUGCGCAGAUAUCAGGAGGAACACCGAUGGCGAAGGCAGGUCUCUGGGCCGCAACUGACGCUGAGGAGCGAAAGCAUGGGUAGCGAACA